This 498-nucleotide ribosomal RNA is filed under the name uncultured bacterium. RNAcentral describes it as "bacterial SSU rRNA". It matches the Rfam family "Bacterial small subunit ribosomal RNA", at positions 899 to 1397 of the family's 1533-position model. The record is from RNAcentral.
ACUCAAAGGAAUUGACGGGGGCCCGCACAAGCGGUGGAGCAUGUGGCUUAAUUCGAUGCAACGCGAAGAACCUUACCAGGCCUUGACAUGCAUUUGACCGGUGCUGAAAGGCACCUUUCCCGCAAGGGACAGAUGCACAGGUGCUGCAUGGCUGUCGUCAGCUCGUGUCGUGAGAUGUUGCGUUAAGUCGCGCAACGAGCGCAACCCCUGUCCUUAGUUGCCAUCAUUAAGUUGGGCACUCUAGGGAGACAAACCCUCUUUGAGGGUGGGAAGGUGGGGAUGACGUCAAGUCAGGAUGGCCCUUACGGCCUGGGCUGCACACGUGCUACAAUGCCCGAUACAGAGGGAUGCGAAACCGCGAGGUGGAGCAAAUCUUCAAAAUCGGGCCCAGUUCAGAUUGCAGUCUGCAACUCGACUGCAUGAAGCCGGAAUCGCUAGUAAUGGCGUAUCAGCUACGACGCCGUGAAUACGUUCCCGGGCCUUGUACACACCGCCCGU